RNAcentral lists this transfer RNA (70 nucleotides) under Daphnia magna. Its description in RNAcentral is "tRNA-Lys". The record is from RNAcentral. Lineage: Eukaryota; Metazoa; Arthropoda; Branchiopoda; Diplostraca; Daphniidae.
CACCAAAUAACUUAAAGUAAGUAAAAGCCUCUUAAGCUUUAAUAUGUCAAUUAACGAUUGGCUUUGGUGA